GGGAUAUUGGACAAUGGGGGGAACCCUGAUCCAGCGACGCCGCGUGAGUGAAGAAGUAUCUCGGUAUGUAAAGCUCUAUCAGCAGGGAAGAAAGAAAUGACGGUACCUGAGUAAGAAGCCCCGGCUAACUACGUGCCAGCAGCCGCGGUAAUACGUAGGGGGCAAGCGUUAUCUGGAAUUACUGGGUGUAAAGGGAGCGUAGACGGUGAUGUAAGUCAGCGGUGAAAUGCCCCCGCUCAACGGGGUGAAGUGCCAUUGAUACUGCCUUGCUGGAAUGCGGAUGCCGUGGGAGGAAUGUGUGGUGUAGCGGUGAAAUGCAUAGAUAUCACACAGAACACCGAUUGCGAAGGCAUCUCACGAAUCCGCGAUUGACGCUGAUGCACGAAAGCGUGGGUAUCAAACAG
RNAcentral lists this ribosomal RNA (404 nucleotides) under uncultured bacterium. Its description in RNAcentral is "bacterial SSU rRNA". It matches the Rfam family "Bacterial small subunit ribosomal RNA", at positions 358 to 775 of the family's 1533-position model. The record is from RNAcentral.